This 433-nucleotide long non-coding RNA is filed under the name Anas platyrhynchos platyrhynchos (common mallard). Its description in RNAcentral is "lncRNA (ENSAPLG00000024838.1)". Lineage: Eukaryota; Metazoa; Chordata; Aves; Anseriformes; Anatidae. The record is from RNAcentral.
GGACGCUAUGGGGCAGGACGCUAUGGGGCAGGAUUCUAUGGGGCAGGACACGAGGACGCCGUGGGUCAGGCCAGACCAUUUAUUGCCAUGGGGUCAGACCCCUAUGGGGCAGAGCCCUAUAGGGCAGCCCGCUAUGGGGCGGGCCGCUAUGGGGCAGGCCGCUAUGGGGCAGGAUUCUAUGGGUCAGACCCCUAUGGGGCAGACCGCUAUGGGGCAGACCCCUAUAGGGCAGACCGCUAUGGGGCGGGCCGCUAUGGGGCGGGCCGCUAUGGGGCAGGCCGCCGUGGGUCGCUCAGUGCUCGUAGCCGUGGGGCAGGGGGUUGGUGUGGGGGUUGUGGAACAGCGUGUGCUGCCCGUCGCCCCACGGGAACGGCUGCGGGGACGGGGACGGGGUCAGUGGGGCGGACCCAGAGGGGCCCCAUAGGACCCAUAG